UACAGGGGGUGCAAACGUUGCUCGGAAUUAUUGGGCGUAAAGCGCGCGUAGGCGGCCGCUUAAGUCGGAUGUGAAAGCCCCUGGCUCAACUGGGGAAGUGCACCCGAAACUGAGUGGCUUGAGUACUAAAGAGGGUCGCGGAAUUCCCGGUGUAGAGGUGAAAUUCGUAGAGAUCGGGUGGAACACCAGUGGCGAAGGCGCCUAUCUGGCUGACAACUGACGCUGAGACUCGAAAGCAUGGGGAGCAAACAGG
Molecule: ribosomal RNA, 253 nt
Filed under: uncultured bacterium
Lineage: Bacteria
Description: partial 16S ribosomal RNA
Rfam family: Bacterial small subunit ribosomal RNA
Source: RNAcentral